AUCACCCAGGGAUCUUGUUAAAAUGUAGAGUCUGAGUCCAUGGGUCUCAGGUGGGGCCUAAGAUUCUGCAUUUCUAGCAAGUUCCCAGGUGACACCUA
This 98-nucleotide microRNA precursor is filed under the name Loxodonta africana (African savanna elephant). RNAcentral's name for it is "mir-544 microRNA precursor family". It matches the Rfam family "mir-544 microRNA precursor family". The record is from Rfam by way of RNAcentral. Lineage: Eukaryota; Metazoa; Chordata; Mammalia; Proboscidea; Elephantidae.